Psammomys obesus (fat sand rat) is the source of this 810-nucleotide long non-coding RNA. RefSeq lists it as uncharacterized. NCBI's taxonomy places the organism in Eukaryota, Metazoa, Chordata, Mammalia, Rodentia, Muridae. The transcript has 5 exons. The record is from RefSeq and is a predicted model, not a curated record.
AAAGCGUGUCACCAAGCUGCAUUUAUGGACUGACUCAACAACCAAGACGUUUCUAGAAGGCCGGAUUGUUGGUCUGUUCACAGGACGCUUGUAUUUUGUUCCCCCUGGAGAAAUGCCUUGUCGAUGGACCUGACCUGAAAAAUCACUGACAGAGGAAAGCAAAAAGAGUGAACGGUCUUCUAGGAUCAAGCAUGUUGCAGACACCUACAAGUGCCUGGCCCGCAUAUCCGCAGUACCAAGCAUGUUUGUUCUCCAGAUGUAUUUGCUCACCACCAACUACUGACUUUAGGUCAGUCCCGACUGCUGCCAGAGUCACUCUGAAUUAAUGCUUUAUGUCCAGCCUGCUAUCUACUCUCCCAUGUAACUGCCUACAAGCGAUCUGAGUCCCUCUAACCAGAAUGAUACUGGAUAAUGUGGAUAUCAGUAUGUGUGUAAAGCAGAACAGCUCCUACCAGAGAAAACAAGAAUGGCCCAAGACUCCCGUUGAAUUCACAGAGCACUGCUUCCUUUGUCCUCAAACCCAUGAGAUCAUCUUUGGCAGUGACUCUGUAUCAGUGGUGCACUGAUGUCAGCAGAAGAAAGAUUAAUAAGCCAUGCUUUAAGUUAACCUUCAAGUGAGUUCUGGGGUUUCCAGAAGUCUGCAGAAUGCUGCCAUAGAAAGACCAACUGAUAAGGCAUACUGGACCCUAGCACACAGGAGCCAUCUUUCUGACAAUGGAAUACAUACAGUUAUCUUCAUUACAGAGGAAAUGUGAUCAAAAAAAAUUGUCCAUCACGCUCAAACAUCUUUUCACCUGAGAAGCACAGAGG